Capra hircus (goat) is the source of this 298-nucleotide long non-coding RNA. RefSeq lists it as uncharacterized. The record is from RefSeq and is a predicted model, not a curated record. NCBI's taxonomy places the organism in Eukaryota, Metazoa, Chordata, Mammalia, Artiodactyla, Bovidae. The transcript is spliced from 3 exons.
GCGCGCCCCGGCCCCACUCGCAGGGCGCUCCGUGCCGCGGUGCUCAGCCUCGCGCCCGCCCGCCCGCCGGCCGGCGAGCCCCGCACGCGGCCAAGAUCUGUGGCCACUGUUCCCAUGGUUCAGAGGCGCCAUGAGGCUCACUGACUCUUGGAGGCUUUGGCUCUGGGCCGCAACGUUCCUGCUUCCUGUUUCCGCUUCCGUGAUGAGCAGGGACAAGCCAGAAAAGCAAUGUCCUAUACUGAGAACAGAGGGACGCCAGUUUACACAAGACAACAGAGAUAAACCUGAAGUUUCAGGU